UGAAGCAACAAUUCUGGACAG
RNAcentral lists this small nuclear RNA (21 nucleotides) under Arabidopsis thaliana (thale cress). Its description in RNAcentral is "snRNA_08781". Lineage: Eukaryota; Viridiplantae; Streptophyta; Magnoliopsida; Brassicales; Brassicaceae. The record is from RNAcentral.